GACGAACGUUGGCGGCGUGCUUAAUACAUGCAAGUCAACUGAAGCAGUGGUAGCAAUAUCGCUGUGGAGGUGGCGCACGGGUGAUUAACACGUAGGUAAUCUGCCUUCAGGUCUGGCAUAACUCCGGGAAACCGGGGCCAAUAGCAGAUGAUGCAGCGGCUCGACAUCGAGACAGUUGUUAAAGCUAUGGCGCCUGAAGAUGAGCCUGCGUCUGAUUAGCUAGUUGGCGGGGUAACGGCCCACCAAGGCAACGAUCAGUAGCUGGUCUGAGAGGAUGAUCAGCCACACUGGAACUGAGACACGGUCCAGACUACUACGGGAGGCAGCAGUAAGGAAUAUUGCUCAAUGGGAGAAAUCCUGAAGCAGCAACGCCGCGUGAGGGACGAAGGGCUUUUGCUUGUAAACCUCUGUAGGGAGAGAAAAAAAUCCCAAUCUUUGGGACAUGAUGGUAUCUCAAAAGUAAGCCCCGGCUAACUACGUG
RNAcentral lists this ribosomal RNA (481 nucleotides) under uncultured bacterium. RNAcentral's name for it is "partial 16S ribosomal RNA". It matches the Rfam family "Bacterial small subunit ribosomal RNA", at positions 28 to 507 of the family's 1533-position model. The record is from RNAcentral.